UCUGGAGACAGGUGCUGCAUGGCUGUCGUCAGCUCGUGUCGUGAGAUGUUGGGUUAAGUCCCGCAACGAGCGCAACCCUUGCCUUUAGUUGCCAGCAGUUCGGCUGGGCACUCUAAAGGGACUGCCGGUGUUAAACCGGAGGAAGGUGGGGAUGACGUCAAGUCCUCAUGGCCUUUAUGACCAGGGCUACACACGUACUACAAUGGCCGAUACAAAGGGCAGCGACACUGCGAGGUGAAGCCAAUCCCGUAAAAUCGGUCUCAGUCCGGAUUGGAGUCUGCAACUCGACUCCAUGAAGUUGGAAUCGCUAGUAAUCGUGGAUCAGCAUGCCACGGUGAAUACGUUCCCGGGCCUU
This 355-nucleotide ribosomal RNA is filed under the name uncultured Desulfobulbus sp. RNAcentral describes it as "bacterial SSU rRNA". It matches the Rfam family "Bacterial small subunit ribosomal RNA", at positions 1027 to 1382 of the family's 1533-position model. The record is from RNAcentral. Lineage: Bacteria; Pseudomonadati; Thermodesulfobacteriota; Desulfobulbia; Desulfobulbales; Desulfobulbaceae.